Molecule: long non-coding RNA, 10116 nt
Filed under: Panax ginseng (ginseng)
Lineage: Eukaryota; Viridiplantae; Streptophyta; Magnoliopsida; Apiales; Araliaceae
Description: long non-coding RNA (PGIN_LNC000221)
Source: RNAcentral
UUGUAAUGAGGACUUCAUUUGAGUUUGGAUAUUGUCUACGAGACAAUAUUCGUGUUAAAACUCAAUUAUUGUGUUGUCGUAAUUUGCACGACAGUUGUAUAAAUUAAGUUUGUAUUUAAGUUAUGUACCAUGUAUUUGGUGACUUAAAAUGGGUUGUGUAUACCUAUUUUGGGGGCGUUACAUGUAGCAACUGCAGAAAGAAACAUGUAGGUGUUUGUUUGAAAGGAAAGUGGGUGUGCUUCAAUUAUGGCUUGGGGUGGCACAUUGCACUAAAUUUUCCAAGCCCGGGGAAGGGAACAUGUUUCACGUGUAGGUCGAAUGAGCACCUGGCUCGAGAUUGUUCAAAGAAUGUGGCUAGAAAUGCAAGCGGAAGUAAGGGGGGAAGCAGCAAUGGCAAGCUGGUUAUUGUGGAAUCAGCUCUGCCGAGUCGACCAACCGAACAUUCAUCCAACAUGACGAUACAGGACACAAUGCAAGGUAUGGUUUCGAUCAGUUAUCUAAACGGCUGCGUGUUAUUUAAUUCAAAUGCCACUUUUUAAUUUAUGUUCAAACAAUUUGCUAGAAAAUUUAUUUGCUUCAGGAGAAGUUAGACCAUUCCCUAAAUAUAGAAAUUGCGAAUAGUGAUUCCUGUUAGGUUUAUGCAUAGAAAUUAUUGGUUAGAUAUUAAAGGUCAUGUGAUGUCAAUGGAUUUAAUUUCAAUUUGACUUGGAAAAAAUCUUAGAUUAUCCUAAGAUUGGAUUGGUUAUUGUACCAGGGGGAAAUAAUUGAUUGUCAAUGGAAGUGUGUAAACGUUUUAACUUCGAGGAAAUUAAAGGUAGUAUUUUAUUUUCUGGUAGCAGGUCGCUUAGACGAUUGAGCUGUUUAGCGAUGAUGCAAUCUAAGAGGUUGUUAAGAAAAGUGUACGGGAAAUGCAAAGUUUUUAAAAUAGGAAUUUGGAUAAAGCGUGUGCAAUUUCUAAGUUUCGUGAUUGAUUAAAAAAAUUACUACAAGGAAGGGUGUCCGACUCACGAUCCAAAGUUAGCUAUAGUGGUGUUCGCCUUGAAUGUUUGGAGGGUAUUAUUUAUACGGAAAGAUUUGUGAGAUAUGUACGGACCAUAAGUGUCUGAAGGGUAUCUUUACACAUAACGAUUUAAGCAUGCGUUAAUGGUGAUUGUGACGCCCCCAAAAUAGGUAUACAUCACCCAUCUUGGGUUGCCAAAUACAUGGUACAUAAUACAAAUACAAACUUAACUAUACAACAUGAGCUAAGAGUUUUUACACGAAUAUUGUCAUCUGGACAAUAUCCAUACUCAAAUAGAGUCCUCAUUACAUUUAUUGACACACUAUUUUAUAGAAUAGUGAGGACUACUAUAACACCAUCUCGGUCCAUCACUUCGUUCCCUGACUAGUUCCAGCUACGUUCUCAUUUCCUGAAGAGAACAAUGGAAGUAAAAGGGUGAGCUCAACUAGUCCAGUAAGAAAUAUUAUGACUAAGAUAAUGCAGAAUAAGUUAUCAUUAGCCUUCAACAAUGUUAAACUGAUAGAAUAUAAUAGACAACAAGUUUAACUGCAGCGGAACAAGCAAUCCAUUAGAAGAGUCAAGUAGAGCAUGAUAUCUACUAUCUUCUAUGAUUUAAAAAGUUUAUCAUUAACUUUAUUGCUGGGACUCAGCUUAAUAAAUAGAUCACAUCAUCGAAUCAUCCCUGCACUACGGGCCAAGGAUAUUCAUUAGUAUCACGUCCACAAAUUAUUCUUGCACUACGGGCCAAGAAUUAUUCGUGUAAUCAUCAAUGGUCAUGACUAUACCGAAUUAUCCCUGGUCAUAAUCAUACCAAUCAACAGUCCAUCUAUGCACGUAAGCCAAAGAUGACUUUCAUCACAAUAUAAGCAUGAGGAUGAUGACAAUGAUAUAAGAAUUCAAUUAAAAGAAAGUAAAGGAUAAAUUUUUAAAGAUUUAUAAUUUAAUUUAUCCAGAAUUCAAUAAUGUCCAAAUUUUCAACAUGAUACUGCUUUGUAGAGUAAAAUUCAAGAAUAAUAUCCAUGUAUCAAAAAUAAUUUGGACAGAAAAGAAAUAAAUUUUUCGGUGAAUAGUACCCCGUGAAUAGUACCCUGUGAAUAGUACUUCGGGAAUAAUACCCCGUGAAUAGUAACCCGACAUGAAAAGUGUCCCAAAUACCCGAGUGAACAAUAUUUGAGUGAAUAGUAAUCGGGUGAAUAGUAUCUCGUGAAUAGUAACUCGUGAAUAGUACACCGGCAUGAAAAGUGCCCCGAAUACCCGAGUGAAUAAUAUUAUAGUGAAUAGUAACCCAUGAAUGGUAACUCGUGAAUAGUACUUCGGUAAAAAUAUUAAUAUUUAAUAAGAAAGUUCAUAUCAAUAUUCCAAUAAAAUGAUACUGGAUGAAGCGCAAAACUCACGGAUAUUCCACUAAUUUCAAGGAUUAUAGAAGCAAUACUUACCAUAGUAAGUUUAGAUUUGAGAAUAUGAAAAGAAUUAACAUACGAAAACUGCAAAUGGAUUUUCACCUGUCAUAUGGUACGUAAUCCGUGUAGACAGGUUAUUCCGACAUACUAAAGGAUGAAUACAAAAAAUAGUAUUCCUUAUGAAUACGAAAGAAAUAAUACCCCUUACCUUAGUAGAAAGCUGGAUACUACAAAAGUGAAGUAGCAGAAUACUCUUCUUCUAGCUCUCUAUAGUUUCUCUCUCUAUAGUGUCUCUUGUGAAUCUCAGUGAAUUGGUGUGAAUGAAAGAAGAAUUAAGCUUAUAUUUAUAGGAGAAUGGACUAAAUAGCAACUAAUUAACGAACGGUCCAGAUUGAUUCACUAUUAAAACAGAUGGUCCAUAUUGAUUACUAUUAAACCACCACCAAUGGUCCAGAUUGAUUUAACUUAUUAUACUUUAGUACCCCUAAAGUUUUCCAAGUGUGCAUUAUUCUCCCUUAACUUUUAUAAAUCACUUAUCUUCAAUAAACACAUUCUUAAUACUUCAACAAUUAUUCAUCAUUAAUAUUAUAACUCACAAUAUUUAACAACCAGGUCGUUCCCAAGAAAGAGGGGGCUUUCCGAUAAGGAUUUCUCCUUAUUAGCGCGCAAUUAGGUGACCAAACCUCUCCUUGACAGAACUUCUAGACAUUGUCAAUAUUGCAAAUAAUAAUAUGAAUAACUUUGUCGUCUCAAUUAUUGAUUUAAUAAUAUAACAUAUUAUGCAAAUGAUAUUGUGACAAUAAUUGAAUCAAUAAUAUGAGAGAUAUGAUGCAACAAUUACUGUAGCAAUAAUUGAGUAUAACUGAGUGACUUCUUACGUAAGCAUUAAUAAUCAAUACCAUGUGCUACUAUGCAACCACGCGUAUUACUGUACUUUUACCACCAGGUAGUUCAACAGUUUAACGGUAAAACCUCCGAUGUUAUUUUUAUAAAAAGAUAUUUAUGUCGUUUUCUAACUACGACAAUACUUCCGUUGUGGGGUUCGCCAAUGAUUAUGCCGUCGUACGAAUAUUCCCUGUUAAAACAAAUAUUCCCCGACCAAUCAAAUAUUAACUGACACAACGAAUAUUUUAUAUCAACUUGCUUACUUUGCAAAAUUUUUCAAAUAUUACCCACAACUAUAACAUUAUAUCAUAUCCACACCAUAAUAUUCAAAAAUAUAUUUCGAGAAAAAUUAUUCUUUAUUCAAAAAAAGUUGGGGUCUUACAAUGAUAGUUGAAAUUUAGUCAAGAAUUAUGAUCGUAAAAUCCUAAACAAAUGUGGUUGUCGAUGACUUAAGAAGAAAGGGUAGAGAGAAAGUAUCUUUGUUAACUGCUCAAUAGGGGUUUAUAAUAGAAAUGGUUAAGUUGUUAUUGGAGGUAAGAUUUCCGAAGAAGUUGGAAGGAAAGUUUUUUAGAUGGAAAACCGUUCAACUUUAUUAGACAGAGUAAAAGAGCGCGCAACUCCAAGACGAGGGGUGUGAGAAAUACAGAAGAAGGAUGUAAAAUUCAAGAUUAAUACUAAAGGGUUGUUGAGAUUUGAAGAAAGAAACUAGGUUUCGCCACUAUUGGGAGUUGAAGAUGUAGUUUUUCAUAAAACUCAUAGUUUGAGAUAUUUGAUUCAAGUAGGAAGCACGAAAAUGAAUCAAGACAUUGGACGAUACUUUUGAUGGCAAAAUAUAAAGUGAGAGGUUGCUAAGUAUGUUACAAAGAGCUUAACAUGUAAAAAGUCAAAGCAAAAUGUCAAAAGCCAAUUGGUUUGUUACAACUAUUGAAGUGGGAGUAUAUGGCAAUAGAUUUUGUGGUAGUUCAAAAUCAGCAUAUUCUUUCCAAUAAAAAUUAGAGUUUAUUUAGAUUAAUUGGAAAAGUUAUAUGUCAAAAAAAAAAUUCUAUGGACACAGUGGUAAUAUCAGUCAUAUCGGAUCGAGAUCAGUAAUUCACAUCGAAUUUUCAAAACAUUUAGCAAGAACAUGUGGAAACGCAAUUGAGAAUAAGCACGUCAUAUCGUCUGCAAACUAAUGGAUAGAAUGAAAGGACAAUCCAAAUAUUGGAGGAAAUGUUAAGCGGUUGUGCAAUGGAUUUCAAAGGGGAUUAGAACGAACAUUUAUCUUUAGUUAAGUUUGCCUACAACAACAGAUAACACGAAAAGCAUUGGUAUAACGUUAUACGAAGCAUUAUACAGAAGGAGAACGUUGUCUGCUAGGGCCAAGUUGGUACAACAGAUCGCAGAAAUCGUCAAAGUGAUUAGAGUGAGAUUGGUAGCUUCUUAGGACAGGCAGAAGAAAUAUGCUGAUCAACACCGACAGAAUCAAGAAUUUGAAAUCGCCAAUUUUGUUUUCUUGAAAGUGUCUCUAUGAAAAGGAAAAAUUCGAUUUGGUAAGAAGGGGAAACUGAGCCCGAGGUUCAUCGGACCCUUCGAGUUUUUGCGAAGAGUUGUUAAAGUGGCGUAUGAGGUUGCUUUACCUCCAGAAUUAGAACACAUUCAUAAUGUUUUUCACGUUUCAGUGUUAUGACCGUACAAGCCGAUUACAAACAUGUCAUAAAGUAUGAACCAUUACAAUUUGAGAAAGAUUUGUCUUAUGAAUAAGUUCCUGUCCAGAUGGGUGAUAGGAAAGAACAAGUGCUUAGAAACAAAGCAAUACCUUCUGUUAAGGUAGUCUGGAGGAAAUGAUAGAAGAUUAUCCUUAGUUAUUUGCUUAGUAUGUGUGUAGCGAUUCUGGGGACAAAAUCUUUUUAAGGGGGGAAUAAUGUAACAGAUGGAUUAAUUGCUUUGUGAUUCUAGGGACAGAAUCCUUGUAAGGAGGGAAGGAUGUAACGAUCAAGAAUAUUUUAUUUUAUUUAAAAUAUUUAUUAAAUUAAAUAAAUAAUUUAGUGGAUUUAUUUAUUGAUUUAAAUAACUAAUUGAUGAAAUUAUUAUGCAAUAAUUUAAUUAAGUGUUUUAUAUUAAUUAAAUUAGUGUUAAAUAAUUCUGUGGUUUGAAGAUUUAAUUUAAUGAGAUAAUUAGAUUAAAUGAGUUGUUAAGUAAUUGUAAUGUUGUGUGAUGGAGAUGUGUUAAUUUAAUUUGAUAAUUAAAUUAGGGGUUUAAUAAGUUGUUAAAUAAAAUUAUAAUUUAUAAUGAAAAUUAUAAUUACAUGAAAAAUGUUAAUUUAAUUUAUGAAUUUCAUUAAAUUAACUUGUUAAGAAUGUGACAAAAGAACUAUAUGUUAAGCAAAUGAUUAAAAUAAAUUAAAAGGUGUUAAAAGGGAGCAAACCAAACAAGGCCUUGUGGCUCUUGGUUGUUGUAACAGAUGAGACUCUUAGUUAUUUUAACUGAUGAAACCAUAUAACUGUACGCUUAAUGUUAUAUCAGUUUUGUGUUUCACUUGUUUUAUCAGUUUAGUAUUAUACAUAUAUUUCCUAAGUCUAAAAGCAAGAAGGAAGAAUACAAAGAAUAGUGGAAUUGAGAGAACUGAGAGACAAGGUUGAGAAUCAAAGAAGAAGAAGGGUAAUCAUCUAUUCCAAGAAUCAAAGAGGUAAUUACCUAUUCUACAAACUCUAGUAUAUGUUCUCUUGGAGUUUUCUUUUGAAACUUGAAUUUUAUGGGAUGAUUUAAUAAAAUAGAUGUUAUAUAUAUGUUGGUAGAUGAUUAUAAUCUGUAUAUGUUGUCUAGGAAAGAUUUUCAGAAAUCAAAAUUCAUGUAAACAUGUUUAGGAUGAAGAACUUGGUUAUGUGAUAAUAUAUGUAUUUUGGCUUACUUUGAGACCAAAAUUAAUGGUUGAAUCAUGUGUUAAUCUAUAAAUUGGCAGUGAUUAGUGCUAAUACAUUCAAAUACGAAAAUAAUGCAAUUACAAUGAAUCAAUUUGGUUGAAUAACGAUUCUGUAGUGUAUAAUUUCAUUAAAGAUGUUAAAAUAUGGGAUUUUAUAUAAACUUAGAAUUUGAGAGUUCUAAAUCGGUUGCUAAGUGAUUUUGGUUGUUGUAUUAGUUAUGUAUAUAUGUUAUGUGAUUUUGGUAAGGUGUAUAAUGUAUGGGUUUAUCCAUGUUGUUGUGGAAUUGAAGGAAUUGGAGUUUUAGGUUGAAGAAUAGUGCUGAAAGCCGACUGUAGAGUUCCUGUCUACGCACCAGCGCAGCUGCGUAGGUGUUAAGGCAAGGAACGGCGUAGCUACGCCCCAGCGCAACUGCGUUACUGCCAAGGCAAGGAACGGCGCAACUGCGUCAUCCCUUGACAGAAUCUGUUUUAUGUCUUUUGUUUACAGUUCAUAGCAUGUUAUUGUAACCUAGUCUAAUGAGCAUGAUAAUGUGUUAGGCUUAUAGUAAGAUGUUAUAACAUGUUGUAGUGAUGAUAUAAUACUAAAUGUGAAGAUUGAAAGUUAUUGAUUAGCAAGUUAUAUAAGAUUGAAACUCUACAUUGUAAGAGUUGAGAAUGUGAUUUGGAUGCUAAAAGUCUUAUGCUAUAUUUUAGUGAGUUUUCAGAUUCGUGUUAUGUGAUUGAUUAUUAUGGUAGACCUUAAUCUAAAGGUUAUAAAUUAACUAAGAUGAGAAUUUAAUCUAUGAUGAUAAUGUGUAUGUAGCUAAUUGAUAUGAUAAUCCUAAUGGUAUAUAUAGGAUAUUGGAGUACGUGAGUUGAAAUUGUAUAGCUUAUGCAAGAGGAAAGUUUCCUAACCUUUGCUACUUUAUUAUUCAACAAGGUUUCUUUUCACCAUUAUUUUGUUAUACUUAUACAAGUCUCCUAAUCCUACUUUUAUGUUAUGCAAGUUUCUUGAAUCAAUUAUUCAAUUGAGCAAGUUCUCAAACCCUAAUAUUUCAUUAUGCAAGUUUCUAUUCCUAACUUGUUAUUGUUAUGCAAGUUCUUUAACCCUAAGUUAUUGUUGAGGAAAUUUCUAAACUCUACUUUUUAUUGAGAAAGUUAAUUAAUCUUUGCUUCUUCAUUCCAAAUGAAAUUGCUAUGGUUAUUCAAAGUCUGUAAUUUUAUUGUAAGCAAGGUGUUUAUUCAACUACAAAUAAUUGUUGUUUGAUCUUUCAUCACCAAUGUCAUUGUAUAAUCUUACAUUGUUGUACCCAACUUUUAGUUGACUAGUGACCGUUUUAUUUAUUCAGCUAAUCCUUAGUUGAUGAAUGUUCUAUAAACUAAAUCACUCUUGAAGUCAAUCCAAACCAAACUUUCUACGGUUUGCUUAUGUAUUGCUAUAGUUUUGAAAGCAUGUAGUCGAUGACUAACACUUAUUCAAUUUAGAAACCAUUUGUACUCUAUCUCUUAUUUAUUCAUCGAUAUACCUUGUUCAUGAAGAUAUUGUAAUCAAACUCUUGAAUAAUUAUUGAUCUCUAUUUGAUUCAAUCAGUACUUGGUUGAUGAGUGUUCUAAAGAUCUAGAAUUAUUUGAAGCUAAUUCCAAACUGAACUUCCUUUGGUACGGAACCUUAUGAUUAAAGCUGAGAUGAACAACCCUAUAAAAGGGGAUUAUUUUAGAGCUACGCGAUAACGUUAAAAUGUUUGCGCAAUAGAUAGUACAAAGGGCUGAUCACCUGGAGUACGAGACGAUGGUCCAUAUAGUCGUUUAGAUUGAUAAAGGUUACAGUAGAAACACUUGUUAACCUAGGACAUAGAUGAUGAUUAUGGUUUUGUAGACAGUUAAAGGUUAAAGUAGAAAUACUUGGCAACCUAGAACAUAGUUCGUAGUCUUGUGACCCUCAGUGUAUUCCUUUGAUGUUGAUAUAUGUUGUUAACUUAAAAGUUCAUUAUUCCUUUGAACUCAUAGCUUUUGAAUUAAAGUUUAUUGUUCCGGUGAGAGUACAUUACCAUUGAAAGCUCAAUCAAUUAUCAUUCAUAGACUAUUAUUGUAUAAUGUUCUUCUUGUGGGCAAUUGUUUGCUCACUCUUGCACAAAACAAUGCAGAUGAGAUCAAGAAGUCUAAAGAGCUUUCUACAAGCAAGGGCAAGUGCAAAGGCAAAAUGCUUGAUUAGAUGACGUUUAAUUUAUUUUUUUUAUUUAUGAAGCUUAUGUAAUAGACUUGUUUAUGAUUAUGUUUUAAUAUUCCGCUGAUGAUUGUAAUAAUAAAGGUUAGAUGACCUGAGAUUUAUUUGAGAUUAUGUAACCCUUUAAUGGGAGGAUUAUCUAUUAUGCUUGUGAGAUUUAUUUAUCCCCUUUGUUUAUGGGUAGAUAGAUGUAAUUUUGUGGAUCAGUGAACACCAGAUCUGUGGCAUUGAAGUACCCGGAUUUGGGGCCGUCACACAUACGUUUCCUAAACAUUCAUCACAAUGUCAAGUAAUAAACAAUUUAUAAAAAUUUCCAUCAAAAAUGGAUAUGAGCAAAAUGAAAAAUAUAAUAAACAAAGAUAUCACUUUCCCAGCACGUGUUCCCAAUACUAAUUAUCAGUAAGAAAUAAGAAGAAAAAAAUCUUGCUUUGGUGUGAAGGAAUCAUACAACCAAUCUAACAUUUGGUCUGAAAUUAACUGACGUGUUACCCUAUAACAAUGAGAAAGAAUCAAAAAGUUCCAUUAGUAUGCUCAUCAUGAUUUUUUUUAAAGACUUACUCCCUCCUUCAAAGAGGCUUUGAACAUUGAAAAUAAUUUUCAACAUAUUGUAGUUCAAGCCCUCUUCCAGGUCCAAACCUCAGCUUAAUGUACUGCAGAAUUCUAAUGACAAUCGCUAGCAAAAGGGUAGUUAUCAUAUAUGUUUACUCUUUGAAAAAAAUACACACACCACAUGUAAAACUUAUAAUUAUAUUGUUUCAUCUUAGCUUUAAUGGAAUGUUGAUAGCCCUCAACCACCACCAAAAAUAAAAUAACUAUAACCUAUGACAAAAUAGCUAACUGACAUACCAUUUAUGUGUAUAGAUGUCUGGAAAAUGUACACUCGUAGACAGAGUUUUAAUAUGCAUAUCAAACUCAAAUCAAUAUAAUUUUUCACUACUUGUCUCUCACAUAGUAUACCCACACUCUCAUCAAUACUUAAACCAACAUUCAGCAAUAAAGAUCCACAUUUUACUUAUGAUUAGUAUGUCAACUAAAAAAACUGACAAUUUAACUAUUAAUGUACGUACAAGACUACAAAAACAAAAAUUAAAAGCAAGAUUCAACAACAAAAAUCAAAAAAAAAUUACCUGUGAGGAAAUGUGAGUUAUUUACUGAUUAAAUUAAAAACUUACCUAAUAAAUGCCAAUUAGGUUGAUGUAGAACACAAAAUUUGGUCAAAAAUAUCAAAUUGCCAUAACUUGUUGCCGAUUUGCCUUCAAAAUGCUUCAAUUACCCACUUUUGCGAACAACCCCAAUUUGAUUUCAAACAACUAGGGAAUGAUUUCGUACAAUUUGACAAAGGACGAUUUCACUAUUUGUGAAACCCAAAUUGAAAUCGCAGCAGGGUUUUGACAAUUUGACAGAGGAAUCACAGAAGGGUUUUGACACUGGCUAAUUUGAAAUCGCAGCAGGGUUUGAUAAAUAACGAUUUGAAAAAGGGAGAUUUCACUAAUUACGAAAUCCUAGUCGAACUAGCAGCAAGUUUUGACGAUUUCACAGAGGAAUCGCUCGAAAUCGCACAAAGGAAGGACUCAAAAUUGCAACAGGGUUUGACAGAGGAAUUACAUCAGUGUUAAUUUCGACGUACGCUAGUUGAAAUGUCAAACGAGGUUUUCCCAAAGGCGUAAAUGUCUCGAUAUGGGGGAAAUUUGGUCCUAAUAAUAUUUUUUUAUCUGCUACUUCAACUAGC